Molecule: RNA transcript, 965 nt
Organism: Fragaria vesca subsp. vesca
Lineage: Eukaryota; Viridiplantae; Streptophyta; Magnoliopsida; Rosales; Rosaceae
Exons: 7
Source: RefSeq, a predicted model, not a curated record
AAACUCAUCAAACUCAUCGAAAAGAGAGACAGAGAGACCCGAAAGAGAGAGGGAGAGCAACGCAAAGUUAAGCUAUCCCAUUUCCGAUCUCAAGUGAAUUGAGUUUGAUUUUACAUGUUAAAGAUCUUUGUUUCCUCUUCACCUCAGAAUGAAAUUCCUUUCUGAUUUUCAUCUACUGUUAUGAGCUCUGGAAUACCAACUUAGUUCGACCCGUUCCAAUUUCCGGUUGAGUUUCACAUUGAAGCUAGCUGAUUGUAUUGUUGAUAUAUCAACUUUGGAAAGUCCGGAAAAAUUAUUCCUUCAACAAUAACCUAUUUCCAGGUUGCUAGAUUACUGAGAAAGGAAGAACAAGAAGACAGCUUUCAGCAGGAUAACUGCACUUCAUUUUCAGAACGUCUUUACAAUCAUCGGCAUUUUACAAUAACAACCUCUUGGACAUCAAGAUUCAGCCGCCAAGUGACAAAUGAAUCAGACUCCUAAAAGGAAAACCAGAAGGUUCCAAUUAAGCCGCUAGGAGGCAGUUUCUUUGUUCGCAUUUCGUGAUCUUUUCCUUCUACUUGCUUUAAGGGAUUCUGCAAUUUGCUGAGUUUGAUUGGGUUUGGUCAAUUUGAAACUUCGAGCUCACCAUCGCAAGGUUCCAAUUGGAGGUGUUUUACAGGCUUAUUGACAUUUUCCUUGACUAAAGUAAUUAUGUGAUUAUCAUAUGUUUUGUGAUCACCAUGAAUAACAAAUUCAAGUUUACAUCAUCUUUGGCAAGUGCAAGUUUUUGAUGUAAAAUAUAACUUUCAUGCGUUUACGAUAGCGAAACUAUUUACAUUGUUAAUUUGAAUAGUUGUGGAUUUGAUUAUAAUCCAAGAACAUACUAUCUAAAUUUCGAAUACUUGAGAUUUUUUAUGCUAUAGAAUGCAGAAAGCAAUAGGUUUCUGUAACAUUUGAGAUUUUAUUCAUUGUGAUUUUGCUAUAUU